AUUCAUAUUUUGCUAUAAAUAAAGACAAUUCUGUCCACAGUCGAAGUAAAUCGUGAAUUGAAGUAUAGUUUUCAGCAUGAAGUUUUCAGCUACUGUUUGUGUUUAUCUUUGUGAUUGUUUCGAUUGAUGCUAGAGGAAUAGGAAGGAGAGCAUGGCAUAAUUGUGAUUUCAAGUGUAAGCCGGUUAUUGAUUAUAUCUGCGCUGUGAAUCGGGUUGGAAAAUAUUUUAUAUUUAACAAUUUAUGCGAAAAGGAGAAAUACUCUUGUGAAAGAAAUAUUAUGCUACACCAACUGGAUUUGAGAAAAUGUGAGGGUAAAGUCUUCUGAUUAUAACCUC
This is a long non-coding RNA of Dalotia coriaria, 336 nucleotides long. RefSeq lists it as uncharacterized. The record is from RefSeq and is a predicted model, not a curated record. The transcript has 3 exons. NCBI's taxonomy places the organism in Eukaryota, Metazoa, Arthropoda, Insecta, Coleoptera, Staphylinidae.